CGGUUUCCGACUCCACCAUCGGCAACGCAAUCUUCAUUUCUUCUACCAUCAACACCCUGUUUAACCUUUGUUCAGCAUAAAGCGGCCACGCUAACAUUGGAACCCCUGCACACACCGAUUCUAGCACUGAGUUCCAGCCGCAGUGAGUCACAAACCCACCAACCGAGUCGUGAUUCAACACGGCUAAUUGGGGUGCCCAUGAUUUGACUACCAGUCCCUUCUCUUUGGUCCUCUCCAAGAACCCUGGAGGAAGCAAUGAUUUCAAAUCUGGGUCGACUUUUGUGUCAAUGUUCAAGCUUUGGUUCUCUAAUGGUGGGUUCCUCACAAUCCAUAAAAAUCUCUGCCCACUCCUCUCUAAUCCAACAGCUAUUUCCUUUAAUUGUUGCACUGAAAACGAUCCCAAGCUACCAAAACAAAGAAACACUACGCUUUUACUAGGUUGAGAGUCUAACCAUUUGAUGCACUGAGGAACACCAUCACCGUCCACGGUGGUGUUAACAAUGAGAGGUCCGAUGCAGUAAAGGGGAGGCGUGGGGUAGUCCGGCAAGCAGAGUCCAUCAUUAAUCUCUUUGAAGCUCUUUGGCUCGAGAUAUUCAAAAGUGUCCACAAUAAUCCCAGUUGAACGGGGCAAGUUGGUGGCGAUGUCUAAGAAAACGUCAUACAGCUUGUUGCCUUUGAACGUUGUCGGCGGCAUAUCUGCAGAUGGAAUCGGUGGAGCACCAGGGAUAUCAAGGAGAACGUUGAGAUGUUGGAAGCUUUGAGUGAAUUUGUUACAGAGGGUGGGCAAAUAAAGUAAGCAAGCAGCGGCACCGAGGGCGGUAGGGAGGAAAGAGUAAGCUGGAAGGUUGAGAUCGGAGGCCACUUCGAAUGCUGCGCUGGUGCAGAAGAAGUCGACGAUAAUGGCGUUGAGUGUGUAGUUAUUGGAGAUGGUGAGAAGGGUGCGACGGACAUCGGGGUUUCUGAGGCGGAUGACGUCGAAGAAAAGCGGAUCUAAGUCGGUUGAGGUUGGAAGGAGGUCGACGGUGGGGAGGUAGUGGAAGGUGAUGGAAGGAGGAACGGGGGAGGGGACGGUGGAGGAAGGUUGUGAAGGAAGGGUGGCGAUGAGGAUGUGGAUAGAAAGGGAAGGGUGUUGAGUGAGGAGGAGCUUGGCGAACUCUACCAUGGGUGCCAGGUGAGUAAGCAUAGAUGCUGGGUAAAUAACUAUGGCUUCCUCCAUUGGUGAUAAUGAAAAAUGGAGAAGACACAAUGUAUACAUGGAUCAUAAAGAAAACAUUGGGAUACGGGGUUUUUAUUUUUUAAAUGUGCUAUUACUCCUUGUAAGUUCAUAAAAUUUUAGAUUUAGUGCCUCCGUUAAAAAAAUUAAAAAUUAAGAAUUAAGUUUUUUUUAUUUAAAAAUAUUAAUCUAGUCAUUAUAAUCGUAUUUAAUUUUUGUCAAAUUUAUUAUUAAACUGUCCUUAUAUGACAUGGCAUAUAAUUGACAGAAAAUAAACAUGUUAAAUUUACAAAUUUUAAUAAAUAACGGUAAUGAUUGGACUAGAUUUUUAAAUUAGAAAAAAAAUAAGAGGAUUAAAGUUUUAUCUUUUAAAAUAUACAAGCAAAGAGACUAGCAACACAUUUUAACCUUUUUUUCUGAAGUUACAACCGUAUUAACCCUUCCAUUUUGAAUAAACCAGUUUCUAAUUACACGUUUAACUUUUUAAUUAAUUUUUAAAUAAUGUAUAUUUAAUUCAUUCUUCAUAAUUAAAAUAUAUAAUAAUUUAAAUAUAAUUAUUAUUUUUAAAUAUCGUAUUAAUAGAUCAGUAAAGUUUUUAAUAAUAUUAAAAAAAUUCAAAUCAUAAUUAAAAUAUUUAUACUAUUUUUAAUAUACAAUAUAAUUUUUUUACUUCAUGUAAUCAUUAUUUAAACUAAUAACUAAUAAUUUUAUUAAAAUAUAUUAAUUAUUUCGAUAAUUUAAAUAUAUUACUAAUAAAAAAUUCUUAUUAUUAAAGUAUUUGUACAAGCACUAAAAAAUUGAUAUAUUGUAAAAUAAACUCUUCACCAUUCAAUUUUUCUUUUUAUUUUCUUAAUGGUCAAAAAAUUAAUUAUAAUAAUUUUUAAAUAAUAUAUAAUUAAUAUGUAGCAAAAAAUUUAAGUAAAAAAUAAACAAAAAAACUUUUUAAAAAUGAUUGUAAUUGUAAAAAAAAUUAUGUCAAAUUUUACUUUAAUUAUAAUUAUUUUAACUAAAUAUUUUUAAAUAAUAAAUAUAAAUUAUUUUUAUAUGUUAAUUAAAAAUAUAAAUUAUUUUUUAAAAAUAGUUAUAUGAUAUAUAAGUUUUUAAUUAAAUUUAUUCUGGUUAUAAAUAGUUAGUUUGAGUUUACUUAAUGCUUGAGUUAGUACUUGUAAAAGAAUUAAUUUGAAAAAGUAAUUUAAAAAUAUUUAGUUAAAAUAAUUAUAAUUAAAGUAAAAUUUGACAUAAUUUUUUAAAAAAAAUGAUUGUAAUAGUAAAAAAAUUAUGUCAAAUUUUACUUUAAUUAUAAUUAUUUUAACUAAAUAUUUUUAAAUUACUUUUUCAAAUUAAUUCUUUUACAAGUACUAACUCAAGCAUUAAGUAAACUCAAACUAACUAUUUAUAACCAGAAUAAAUUUAAUUAAAAACUUAUAUAUCAUAUAACGAGACUCGAAUUUAAAAUCUCAAUUUUUCAAUACUGAAACAUAAUUUAAAAUCUUCAUUAAAAUUAAAUUUUUUAUAUUUAUUUUAUUUGAUUCAUUCAUUGGUUGUUGACUUGUUUGUAUUGAUUUGAAGGUUGGUUGCAACUGUAACGAUCUUACUGAACUGACAUUGAGUGUACUUGAAGAUCGACUAUAGCACUUCACCCAACCCUUGGUUCAACAUGAGAUUAGUUGCUGAAAUGACGGUCAAGAACCCGAAUUUCAGAUACGGAACCACCAGUGUUGGGGUAAACAAGUUGGGGUGGCUUUAGGCCCAAGAGCAAGAGUUACGACAAAAAUUAAUCUCAUUAUAAGUUCUUAUCAUAUUUAUUUUUUAUUUUAAUGUCUAAACUCACCUAUAGUUCCUCUUUAAUUCUUAAAUAGGGGGAUAAAGUACUUCAAUGCAUUCGAACCCAAGCUCUUUGAAUGGCAAUAAUACUGACACCAAUCAAAUUAAAACUCAAUCGAUAAAUUAAUGCUGAACUUGAAUUCCAACCACGUAAGAAAUAAUAUGAAUUUAAGAAAUUAUAUCGGGUCAAAUUUUCUAACAUUGACAGCCCGGUCCAAGAUGAAAGGUGAAUGGUAGGAGACGAUCUACAGGAAUGGAUUGCUCCAUUUCGAUUAAUUUGCCGCAAAAAUUGGUACAAAAUAUAACUCGCUCUUAGAGAUGGGUGCUUUUAAAUCAUGGAUUUCUUGCUUUUUUAUCAUUUGCUGUGAUGUAAACUAUUCAAUCAUUUUUGUUGAAUAAUUGUAUGGAAUUAAAAAAAAAUUAAGUGUGAAAUUGAAUAUUAAUGUUAAAUUCAAGUAGCAAACGGUAUAUUAACUUUAAUAAUAAAAGUUAAUUUUUGAUGAUUUAAACUAAUUAAUAAAAAUAGACAAUGAUAGCACAUAUACAAAACUUUUUAACAACAUCGCUUCUACUUCUUUUGUAACAAAAGAUUCUUCUUUUUAUGUAAAACAUGCUCUAACUAUGAUUUCAUAUAUAGAAAAUUCAUUAAAUCUUGUUCAUUUUUUUUUUUUGUGCAUUGAGAGAUAUUAUUUCACUUUCAUCAAUUGAGUCCAAAAGUUAUGUACAGUUAAAUUAUAAAAAUCAAAUCGUAAAGGGAGUAAAACUUGGAAUUUUACCUAAAACUCGAAGCCGUCAAGAUUUGGACAUCGUUUCUGUGUAUCGGACCAACACAACAAAAAUAACAACCGGUUCGGUCCGAGUCAUUUCAGCUUCCAUGACUCGAAAAGUUUGACUAGCGCAACACGAGAGGAACCUCCCUCACUCGUCGCUACCUCGGCUGCACGUUUCAUAUCUAACGUUCGCUGCCUAACUGAGUCACUUUCUUUCGACUCAAUCAACUCUUUGACUCGCUUCUCCACCUCAGUUGAACAAACGAACCCUGUUUCCGACUCCACCAUCGGCAAUGCGAUCUUCAUUUCUUCUACCAUCAACACCCUAUUGAGCCUUUGUUCUGCAUAAAGUGGCCAGGCCAACAUUGGAACCCCUGCACGCACCGAUUCCAGCACCGAGUUCCAGCCGCAGUGAGUUAUGAAUCCACCAACCGAGUCGUGAUUCAACACGGCUGCUUGAGGUGCCCAUGAUUUGACUACCAGUCCCCUCUCUUUGGUCCUCUCCAAGAACCCUUGAGGAAGCAAUGAAUUCAAAUCUG
Molecule: long non-coding RNA, 4346 nt
Filed under: Gossypium barbadense (sea-island cotton)
Lineage: Eukaryota; Viridiplantae; Streptophyta; Magnoliopsida; Malvales; Malvaceae
Description: long non-coding RNA (GBAR_LNC022085)
Source: RNAcentral